Molecule: ribosomal RNA, 255 nt
Filed under: uncultured bacterium
Lineage: Bacteria
Description: partial 16S ribosomal RNA
Rfam family: Bacterial small subunit ribosomal RNA
Source: RNAcentral
UAGCGAAGGGGGCUAGCGUUGCUCGGAAUUACUGGGCGUAAAGCGCACGUAGGCGGCUCGUUAAGUCGGAGGUGAAAUCCUGGAGCUCAACUCCAGAACUGCCUUCGAUACUGAUGAGCUCGAGUUCGGGAGAGGUGAGUGGAACUGCGAGUGUAGAGGUGAAAUUCGUAGAUAUUCGCAAGAACACCAGUGGCGAAGGCGGCUCACUGGCCCGAUACUGACGCUGAGGUGCGAAAGCGUGGGGAGCAAACAGGG